RNAcentral lists this small RNA (27 nucleotides) under Bombyx mori (domestic silkworm). RNAcentral's name for it is "ovarian small RNA-31330". Lineage: Eukaryota; Metazoa; Arthropoda; Insecta; Lepidoptera; Bombycidae. The record is from RNAcentral.
UGACAAUUGUGGGAGGCGUGCCCGUAA